This 254-nucleotide ribosomal RNA is filed under the name uncultured bacterium. RNAcentral's name for it is "partial 16S ribosomal RNA". It matches the Rfam family "Bacterial small subunit ribosomal RNA", at positions 524 to 776 of the family's 1533-position model. The record is from RNAcentral.
GACGGAGGAUGCAAGCGUUAUCCGGAAUGAUUGGGCGUAAAGCGUCCGCAGGUGGCAAUUCAAGUCUGCUGUUAAAGCGCAGGGCUUAACUCUGUAAAGGCAGUGGAAACUGAAUAGCUAGAGUGUGGUAGGGGCAGAGGGAAUUCCCAGUAUAGCGGUGAAAUGCGUAGAGAUUGGGAAGAACAUCGGUGGCGAAGGCGCUCUGCUGGACCAUAACUGACACUCACAGGACGAAAGCUAGGGGAGCGAAUGGG